UUGUAGCUUAGUUGGCAGAACAUCUGCUUUGCAUGCAGAAGGUCCUAGGUUCAAUCCCAGGCAUCUCAA
Molecule: non-coding RNA, 69 nt
Organism: Podarcis lilfordi (Lilford's wall lizard)
Lineage: Eukaryota; Metazoa; Chordata; Lepidosauria; Squamata; Lacertidae
Source: the annotation of a GenBank genome assembly